Molecule: ribosomal RNA, 205 nt
Filed under: uncultured bacterium
Lineage: Bacteria
Description: partial 16S ribosomal RNA
Rfam family: Bacterial small subunit ribosomal RNA
Source: RNAcentral
AGCGCAGGCGGGAAACUAAGCGGAUCUUAAAAGUGCGGGGCUCAACCCCGUGAUGGGGUCCGAACUGGUUUUCUUGAAUGCAGGAGAGGAAAGCGGAAUUCCCAGUGUAGCGGUGAAAUGCGUAGAUAUUGGGAAGAACACCAGUGGCGAAGGCGGCUUUCUGGACUGUAACUGACGCUGAGGCUCGAAAGCUAGGGUAGCGAAG